AUUGAACGCUGGCGGCAGGCCUAACACAUGCAAGUCGAGCGGAUGAAGGGAGCUUGCUCCUGGAUUCAGCGGCGGACGGGUGAGUAAUGCCUAGGAAUCUGCCUGGUAGUGGGGGAUAACGUCCGGAAACGGGCGCUAAUACCGCAUACGUCCUGAGGGAGAAAGUGGGGGAUCUUCGGACCUCACGCUAUCAGAUGAGCCUAGGUCGGAUUAGCUAGUUGGUGGGGUAAAGGCCUACCAAGGCGACGAUCCGUAACUGGUCUGAGAGGAUGAUCAGUCACACUGGAGCUGAGACACGGUCCAGACUCCUACGGGAGGCAGCAGUGGGGAAUAUUGGGCAAUGGGCGAAAGCCUGAUCCAGCCAUGCCGCGUGAGUGAAGAAGGUCUUCGGAUUGUAAAGCACUUUAAGUUGGGAGGAAGAGCAGUAAGUUAAUACCUUGCUGUUUUGACGUUACCAACAGAAUAAGCACCGGCUAACUACGUG
Molecule: ribosomal RNA, 484 nt
Filed under: uncultured bacterium
Lineage: Bacteria
Description: partial 16S ribosomal RNA
Rfam family: Bacterial small subunit ribosomal RNA
Source: RNAcentral